Podarcis lilfordi (Lilford's wall lizard) is the source of this 68-nucleotide non-coding RNA. NCBI's taxonomy places the organism in Eukaryota, Metazoa, Chordata, Lepidosauria, Squamata, Lacertidae. The record is from the annotation of a GenBank genome assembly.
ACAGCUUUGUUGGUAGAGCAUGAAACUCUUAAUCUCAUUAGUUGUGGGUUCGAGCCCCAUGUUGGGUU